AUUCAAUAAAUGAGUCCUACUCCUACACCUACUCUUAUCACUUGUAAUCCAAAAAAGCUCCAUUUCUUUCUUAUACGCUAAUUCACUAUUAAAUAGAAAUGUAUAUGCAAAACAGCGAGAAAUUUGUAGAUACGUUGAAUGUUGUUGCUUUCACAUUUGCAACUCUUAGUAGUUGUUCAAAACAACAAUGUCGAGCAAAGAUGUUUGCGAUGUUUGAAUGAUUCUUGGAUUGUAUUUGGAUUCCAUCGGUACUAUGGCCUGUUGAUUCGGCACCUUUGUCAUUUUAGCAACUUUUGUUUUCUUUUCUGUGUCGAUGUAGUUCUCUAUACCAUAUUCAUGUUCAUAUUCAUGUUCAUAUUCAUGUUCAUAUCAAUGUCCAUAUCAAUGUCCAUAUCAAUUUCCCAUGUUCCAUUACAUAUCCCGUGUUCUUUCCUUCUUCCAGCUUUUACAUGCUAGCCUUUUAUACAAUGAUUCCUCUCAUCUCGACUCGCUUGAUGAAUGGGCGUUUAGUUUUUGCAACAACAUAUGCGUUGGGUUAUCUCAUAUCGGGAAACACUUUCUGCCACUUUUAACUUGAACAAAGUUGGAGAAAUAAAGUGAUGGCAGAUAUUGCAAGUUGUUUAUAGUGUGCCUGUAGAAAUGUAAAAACGCUAUGUUUCGUGAAUGCCCAGCCUGUAAAUCGAAAUAAGAUUUCGUAUUUAUUAAGCAUUGGAAAGAUCACAAUUGGNAAAAAACACGNAUACGGNUGGUCUCUUCACAGUCGUUCUCCAGU
This 772-nucleotide small RNA is filed under the name Schizosaccharomyces pombe (fission yeast). Its description in RNAcentral is "small heterochromatic RNA precursor". Lineage: Eukaryota; Fungi; Ascomycota; Schizosaccharomycetes; Schizosaccharomycetales; Schizosaccharomycetaceae. The record is from RNAcentral.